GAUGAACGCUAGCUACAGGCUUAACACAUGCAAGUCGCGGGGCAGCAUGGGGGUUGCUUGCAAUCCCCGAUGGCGACCGGCGCACGGGUGAGUAACGCGUAUCCAACCUGCCCUUCACCACGGGAUAACCCGGCGAAAGUCGGACUAAUACCGUAUGUUGUCCAUUGACGGCAUCCGAUUUGGACGAAAGGUUUGGCGGUGAAGGAUGGGGAUGCGUCCGAUUAGCUGGACGGCGGGGUGACGGCCCACCGUGGCGACGAUCGGUAGGGGUUCUGAGAGGAAGGUCCCCCACACUGGAACUGAGACACGGUCCAGACUCCUACGGGAGGCAGCAGUGAGGAAUAUUGGUCAAUGGGCGUAAGCCUGAACCAGCCAAGUAGCGUGCAGGAUGUCGGCCCUAUGGGUUGUAAACUGCUUUUAUGCGGGGAUAAAGUGGCCCACGUGUGGGUUUUUGCAGGUACCGCAUGAAUAAGGACCGGCUAAUUCCGUG
This 490-nucleotide ribosomal RNA is filed under the name uncultured bacterium. RNAcentral's name for it is "partial 16S ribosomal RNA". It matches the Rfam family "Bacterial small subunit ribosomal RNA", at positions 28 to 507 of the family's 1533-position model. The record is from RNAcentral.